GACGAACGCUGGCGGCGUGCUUAACACAUGCAAGUCGAACGGAAAGGCCUCUUUCGGGGGGUACUCGAGUGGCGAACGGGUGAGUAACACGUGAGUAACCUGCCCUUGACUUUGGGAUAACUUCAGGAAACUGGGGCUAAUACCGGAUAGGAGCUCCUGCUGCAUGGUGGGGGUUGGAAAGUUUCGGCGGUUGGGGAUGGACUCGCGGCUUAUCAGCUUGUUGGUGGGGUAGUGGCUUACCAAGGCUUUGACGGGUAGCCGGCCUGAGAGGGUGACCGGCCACAUUGGGACUGAGAUACGGCCCAGACUCCUACGGGAGGCAGCAGGGGGGAAUAUUGCACAAGGGGUGGAAGCCUGAUGCAGCAACGCCGUGUGCGGGAUGACGGCCUUCGGGUUGUAAACCGCGUUCGCUCAUGACGAAGCUUUGUGUGACGGUAGUGGGUAAAGAAGCACCGGCUAACUACGUG
This 467-nucleotide ribosomal RNA is filed under the name uncultured bacterium. RNAcentral describes it as "partial 16S ribosomal RNA". It matches the Rfam family "Bacterial small subunit ribosomal RNA", at positions 28 to 507 of the family's 1533-position model. The record is from RNAcentral.